UGGGGAAUAUUGCACAAUGGGCGAAAGCCUGAUGCAGCAACGCCGCGUGAGUGAUGAAGGUCUUCGGAUUGUAAAGCUCUGUCUUUUGGGACGAUAAUGACGGUACCAAAGGAGGAAGCCACGGCUAACUACGUGCCAGCAGCCGCGGUAAUACGUAGGUGGCGAGCGUUGUCCGGAUUUACUGGGCGUAAAGGGUGCGUAGGCGGAUGUUUAAGUGAGAUGUGAAAUACCCGGGCUUAACUUGGGUGCUGCAUUUCAAACUGGAUAUCUAGAGUGCAGGAGAGGAGAAUGGAAUUCCUAGUGUAGCGGUGAAAUGCGUAGAGAUUAGGAAGAACACCAGUGGCGAAGGCGAUUCUCUGGACUGUAACUGACGCUGAGGCACGAAAGCGUGGGUAGCAAACAGGAUUAGAUACCCUGGUAGUCCACGCCGUAAACGAUGAGUACUAGGUGUAGGAGGUAUCGACCCCUUCUGUGCCGCAGUAAACACAUUAAGUACUCCGCCUGGGAAGUACGAUCGCAAGAUUAAAACUCUAAAGUCAAUUGAC
Molecule: ribosomal RNA, 545 nt
Filed under: uncultured bacterium
Lineage: Bacteria
Description: partial 16S ribosomal RNA
Rfam family: Bacterial small subunit ribosomal RNA
Source: RNAcentral